Molecule: ribosomal RNA, 659 nt
Filed under: uncultured organism
Description: bacterial SSU rRNA
Rfam family: Bacterial small subunit ribosomal RNA
Source: RNAcentral
GGGAUAGCGGCGGGAAACUGCCGGUAAUACCAGAUGACAUCUCCGGAUCAAAGGUGUGACUCCGCCCUAAGAUGGGCCCACAUGCUAUUAGUUAGUUGGCAGGGUAAUGGCCUACCAAGACUAAGAUGGCUAGCGGGUGUGAGAGCACGACCCGCGUCACUGGGACUGAGACACUGCCCAGACACCUACGGGUGGCUGCAGUCGAGAAUCUUCGGCAAUGGGCGCAAGCCUGACCGAGCGACGCCGCGUGCGGGAUGAAGGCCCUCGGGUUGUAAACCGCUGUCGAGGGGGACGAAAUUCUAGUGGGUACUCCCAUUAGAUUGACAGAUCCCUGGAGGAAGGGUGGGCUAAGUUCGUGCCAGCAGCCGCGGUAAGACGAACCACCCAAACGUUAUUCGGAAUCACUGGGCUUAAAGCGUGCGUAGGCGGCCUUGAAAGUUAGGUGUGAAAUCCCACAGCUCAACUGUGGAACUGCGCUUAAAACUACAAGGCUAGAGGGAUAUAGAGGUGAGCAGAACAGAUGGUGGAGCGGUGAAAUGCGUUGAUAUCAUCUGGAAUACCGGAGGCGAAGGCGGCUCACUGGGUAUCUUCUGACGCUGAGGUACGAAAGCUAGGGGAGCGAACGGGAUUAGAUACCCCGGUAGUCCUAGCCGUAAACG